GGCAAAUAAAGGGAUUUAAUAUUUAUUAGCUGGUUUUAUUAUAAGUUACUAUUUCUGCUACUCCUAUUAUUACUCAAUAAUAGAGUUUGUUGAGUCGCUGGAUAUGUUGUUUAGAGGAGGAGGGAGUGAUUGGCAAUCAGGAGUUGUAGGUGGUAUUUUCAGAAUAAAGGUAGCAUUUGAGAUGGGCCUUGAGGCAUGGGUAUAAUUUGGUCAUGGACAAAUGGAGAGGAAGUCAGUCUUCAGUUGAAGAUGGUGUGUGUGAACAAAAGAUGUGGUGUGAACCAAAGAGUGGUAGGUGAUCAUAAGGAGUUGAUUAUUAGAGAAGAGCAAGUAUUUUAAAGUGGCAGAAACAUAAUAUAUAAGAACUGAGAGAUGCGACAUGAAAGACAGGUUAGAGGUUGAUCUGGGUGGCGUUGGACGCCAAACUGUAGACUUUGGGACUUAGAAUGUGAGUGAAGUAGCAGUAUCCAAAGUUUUGUUUUGUUUUCCUCCCGGAGGGUGACUGUUACAUCUGUAACAUGUUACAUGUAACAUCUGUUACUAUGGUAGUCUUUUUUUAAAAAAAAUAAUUAACAAUAGUCAACAAUAACACCAUGGUUCCUAUUCUAUUUAAUUAAAUUUUCCUGUGACAAUAUUAGGUAUACAAACUGACCCUACCUACUCAGCCCAAUUUUAUAUAAUAAAUCUCUUGAUUUGUGAUUUUUAUUAACAUUCAUUUCUUUCUAGGACCCAGUUACCAAACCUGGACUGAGGGCUUCAGGUCCUUAGCUAUUAGGGUUUAGAUGGCAGUGAUAUCCAUGCUGAAUUGAUGCCAAGAGACUCUUGUUAUUGUGGGAUAAGUGAUAUUUCACUUCUGUUUUGUUCUCUUGUCUGAAAGCUAUUAUUACUGAACACACAGUCUUCACUAUCUGAUGCUAAUGAAACAGGAUUCUAUACAGGUGAAGGGCUGAAAGGUGAUGAUGUCAAAGGAAGUGAUACAGGAAGUGAGAAAGUUCCUUAUUGCAUUUCCUGUUCUUGUUUCUUUCUCUUUUUCUCUUUCUUCUCUCCCUCUUUCCACCUCCAUCCUUCUCUGUAUUUCUCUCAACAUAUGCAUACAUGCAUGUAAUGUGGACCUUCAGACUGCUCAGCAGAGAGAAGUUUAUAUGAAGCAGACACAAGUGACAGAGCCUGGCUGCAGCUUUGUUCUGAUGCUGGAGGGCAUCUGGAGUGUGAGGAUUAAGCUUAGAUGUCAGCUUGACUGGCCUAAGGGAUGCCCAGGGAGGUGGUCAAACAUUAUUUCUGGAUAUGUGUGUGAGAGAGUUUUUCUGGAAGAGAUUACCAUUUGAUUCAUUAGACCAAGUCAAGAUGAUCCAGUGGGAGUGGGGCAUUAUCCGAUCCUUUGGGGGCCUGGAUGGAACAGAAAGGUGAAGAAAGGGCUGAUUCUCUCUCUCCAGCUGAGAUGUCCAUUUCCUCCUGCCAUGAGACCUUGGAGCUCCUGAUUCUUCUAGCCUUUGGACUCAGAUCGAAUUUAACACAACCUUUCUUGAUUGUCCAGUGUGCAGAUGGCAGACUAUGGCCCUUCCAGGCCUCCAUAACCAUGUAAUCCUGUUCCUAUCAUAAAUCUCCUCUCCUAAAGCUCUCUAUACAUUCUGUUGGUUCUGUUUCUCUGGAAAACCAUUACCAAUGCACUGAGUCCUGGAUCCUUGCCUUCCCUCUCAGUGCCAAGUAAAUGCUCAGUCCCUGGGGUCCACGGUCAGCCAUACAGAGGGAAGUGUCAGGGGUGAGCCAGUCUUCAGCUUGUCUUCCCAAGAUAGUGUGGGAUGCAUUAACAAGUGCUUAUCCAUGCUCUUUUUGUUUUUAUUUUAUUUUUAUUUUUUUGCAGCAUAUACUCACAAUAAUACUGUGCGUGAACUGUUCUCAUUCUCUAUAUCACAGUGAGUAUGCUGCUGCAGCAGCAGGCUAGGAGGAGAGGGGCCUGGAUGGAACAGGGACAAUGCAAUGUCCCUAUGCAAUCUAGGGACAAGCCAUUAAAGCUGCCUCUUACUGGUGUAAUAAUUUCAGACAUGUGAUUCCUUCCUUAAUUUCUGAGUUCCAACUAUGAAUCUCUUUCUGAUAGGGUCAUGAGGUAGCUCUAUUGUAGAUAAACCUCUCUGUGGCUUCUAAGUGGGGCUAGCCCCACCAUGAAUCCAUGCCUGGAAAAAGUGGGUAUGUCAUAUGCUAAUUAUGAGAUUUAGGUAUCAACUGGAUAGAAGAGACACAAAGGCCUCUAUAGCUCUGGUUUCUGGGUGAGCUGGGAUCUCACCCAGGGAUAAGAACCACCACCAUUUCCCAGACCUACAGGGAAUU
This is a long non-coding RNA of Vulpes vulpes (red fox), 2325 nucleotides long. Lineage: Eukaryota; Metazoa; Chordata; Mammalia; Carnivora; Canidae. The record is from Ensembl.